Molecule: ribosomal RNA, 459 nt
Filed under: uncultured bacterium
Lineage: Bacteria
Description: partial 16S ribosomal RNA
Rfam family: Bacterial small subunit ribosomal RNA
Source: RNAcentral
CCUACGGGAGACUGCAGUGAGGAAUAUUGGUCAAUGGUCGGGAGACUGAACCAGCCAAGCCGCGUGAGGGAUGAAGGUACAGAGUAUCGUAAACCUCUUUUGUCAGGGAACAAAGGCGGGGACGUGUCCCCGGAUGAGUGUACCUGAAGAAAAAGCAUCGGCAAACUCCGUGCCAGCAGCCGCGGUAAUACGGAGGUGGCAAGCGUUAUCCGGAUUUAUGGGGUUAAAGGGGUGCGCAGGCGGUCUGUUAAGUCAGCGGUAAAAGCCCGGGGCUCAACCCCGGCCGGCCGUGGAAACUGGCAGUCUCGAGUGGGAGAGAGGUAUGCGGAAUGCGCGGUGUAGCGGUGAAAUGCAUAGAUAUCGCGCAGAACUCCGAUUGCGAAGGCAGCAUGCCGGCUCCACACUGACGCUGAGGCACGAAAGCGUGGGUAUCGAACAGGAUUAGAUACCCUAGUAGUC